UGCAGUCGAACGGCAGCACAGGAGAGCUUGCUCUCUGGGUGGCGAGUGGCGGACGGGUGAGGAAUACAUCGGAAUCUACUCUGUCGUGGGGGAUAACGUAGGGAAACUUACGCUAAUACCGCAUACGACCUACGGGUGAAAGCAGGGGAUCUUCGGGCCUUGCGCGAUUGAAUGAGCCGAUGUCGGAUUAGCUAGUUGGCGGGGUAAAGGCCCACCAAGGCGACGAUCCGUAGCUGGUCUGAGAGGAUGAUCAGCCACACUGGAACUGAGACACGGUCCAGACUCCUACGGGAGGCAGCAGUGGGGAAUAUUGGACAAUGGGCGCAAGCCUGAUCCAGCCAUACCGCGUGGGUGAAGAAGGCCUUCGGGUUGUAAAGCCCUUUUGUUGGGAAAGAAAUCCAGCUGGCUAAUACCCGGUUGGGAUGACGGUACCCAAAGAAUAAGCACCGGCUAACUUCGUGCCAGCAGCCGCGGUAAUACGAAGGGUGCAAGCGUUACUCGGAAUUACUGGGCGUAAAGCGUGCGUAGGUGGUCGUUUAAGUCCGUUGUGAAAGCCCUGGGCUCAACCUGGGAACUGCAGUGGAUACUGGGCGACUAGAGUGUGGUAGAGGGUAGCGGAAUUCCUGGUGUAGCAGUGAAAUGCGUAGAGAUCAGGAGGAACAUCCAUGGCGAANGCAGCUACCUGGACCAACACUGACACUGAGGCACGAAAGCGUGNGGAGCAAACAGGAUUAGAUACCCUGGUAGUCCACGCCCUAAACGAUGCGAACUGGAUGUUGGGUGCAAUUUGGCACGCAGUAUCGAAGCUAACGCGUUAAGUUCGCCGCCUGGGGAGUACGGUCGCAAGACUGAAACUCAAAGGAAUUGACGGGGGCCCGCACAAGCGGUGGAGUAUGUGGUUUAAUUCGAUGCAACGCNAANAACCUUACCUGGGCCUNGACAUGUCGAGAACUUUCCANANAUGGAUCGGUGC
RNAcentral lists this ribosomal RNA (973 nucleotides) under Stenotrophomonas sp. Its description in RNAcentral is "bacterial SSU rRNA". It matches the Rfam family "Bacterial small subunit ribosomal RNA", at positions 56 to 1017 of the family's 1533-position model. The record is from RNAcentral. Lineage: Bacteria; Pseudomonadati; Pseudomonadota; Gammaproteobacteria; Lysobacterales; Lysobacteraceae.